This 304-nucleotide long non-coding RNA is filed under the name Gossypium raimondii (Peruvian cotton). Its description in RNAcentral is "long non-coding RNA (GRAI_LNC005429)". Lineage: Eukaryota; Viridiplantae; Streptophyta; Magnoliopsida; Malvales; Malvaceae. The record is from RNAcentral.
GUAGUCAUCCGGUGUCAAUUAUACAUGAUUUCUUUAACGGAAAUACUAAUGUCAUUUUGCCUUCAGCCACAAAAUUUGAACAAACCGGCUAGAUUGUAAGACCAAUACAAGUGAGAAAUAAAAAAAAAUAAACGAGGAAAUAAAAUAUAUUUUUUAAGUGCACUCACGAAAAAUAUUAAAUCAUAAGCACAAAAAAAAAAUACCAAUUCUAUAAUAUAUAAAUUAAAUGUACAAGAACACACCAUGCAUUCUAAAAUCUAACCUCAACUCAACAGUUCUGUCCAACUAAUAAAUAACACAACAC